Molecule: transfer RNA, 72 nt
Filed under: Camelus bactrianus (Bactrian camel)
Lineage: Eukaryota; Metazoa; Chordata; Mammalia; Artiodactyla; Camelidae
Also listed under: 3 other names
Rfam family: tRNA
About the family: Transfer RNA (tRNA) molecules are approximately 80 nucleotides in length.
Source: Rfam by way of RNAcentral
GAGAGUAUAGCUCAGUGGUAGAGUGCAAGCCUAGCAUGCAUGAGGUCCUGGGUUCAAUCCUCAGUCCACUAA